This is a long non-coding RNA of Lacerta agilis (Sand lizard), 521 nucleotides long. RefSeq lists it as uncharacterized. The transcript has 2 exons. Lineage: Eukaryota; Metazoa; Chordata; Lepidosauria; Squamata; Lacertidae. The record is from RefSeq and is a predicted model, not a curated record.
UAUUUUUGUGUGGACAAUGAAGAUGAACAAAGGAGUUAUGUAUAUCCUGUGGUCCUGUCCCUGACCACACCUAGUCCAUUCCUACUUAAGCUGCCUUGUAAAUACAGCGUCAUUAUGCCUGCCUCUCCAGAUCAACAGACUCAAAGAAGAUCCAGCUACAUCACCAGCCUCCCCACGAGCCAGGGAGAGACCAGAAACAAAGGCGCAGAGCAACUUUAAGCAAAUGCCGUCAUUUGCCCAGGAUCAGACUAUUCCCAUGCAUUUAUUUCCACCACAUUGCAAAGCCAGAAUCAUGCAGGAAUCGUUUGCUGUCCAUUUCCUUAAGGUGCUGAAGGAACUCUUGGCUUUUGUGCUGUUCAGUUACACAGUGCUGUUAGGGGCGCUGCUGUUGGCUGGCUGGACCACUUAUUUCCUGGUGCUUAAGUGACAGCUCAUGUUUUCCACCAGCAGCUUACAGAUGGAGCCCAGAUGCACUGUCUAUCCAACACCCAAUCAAUAAACACAAUUCCGUUUCUAUUCUA